This 669-nucleotide long non-coding RNA is filed under the name Cricetulus griseus (Chinese hamster). Its description in RNAcentral is "lncRNA (ENSCGRG00015034800.1)". Lineage: Eukaryota; Metazoa; Chordata; Mammalia; Rodentia; Cricetidae. The record is from RNAcentral.
UGGUGGGUGGUUGAAAGACCCGAGCUAACAUGGGGUUAGCUCGUUAAAUUACAAUAAAGCCUCGUGCAGUUUGCAGCAAGCUCUCGAAUCCGCCUGGUGAUUGGGGUGACCGCGAACCUGGCCUGAGACCCCGGAUACUUGAGUUUUCGGGGGUCUAACAUUUUGGGGGCUCGUCCGGGAUUUGCGACCACCCUUCACCUGAGUGGAUUCGAUCUUGGAGUUUAUAAUGUCAGACAGACUGCCAGAUCCGGACAGUGACCCAAAGUCUCCAAAGAAGAUUACGAGGCACCUCAGUUCCUGCACCUGGACCAGUGAGCGAGAUGCUCAGAUGUGAUACCUGCCGCCUGCCAGAACCUGGCCGAGACUGUGGACAAAGCUGCUGGACACUGGAAAAUUGAUUGCACCCCUUUGCCUAGACAAAACAAGGUUUCUGCUUCUGGCAGACAUCUGAAUAUCAGUUGCUGACUACAGACUGUUCUAAGACUGCGAGCCCUGGACUUGCUGUGGAUGUGAACCAGUUCAGCUGAUAUGGACACCCCCUGUCUCUGCAACAGUGUCUGCUACCCAGAAGCCCCUGAUAAAUUCCCCAUUGCCUAAAUCCCUUUUUGCUUUUGACUAGCAUUUCAACCUUCUGGGGUCCCUAACUUCGUCCCAAAGUCAGCAGAAAGC